This 373-nucleotide ribosomal RNA is filed under the name uncultured bacterium. RNAcentral's name for it is "bacterial SSU rRNA". It matches the Rfam family "Bacterial small subunit ribosomal RNA", at positions 523 to 898 of the family's 1533-position model. The record is from RNAcentral.
AUACGUAGGUGGCGAGCGUUGUCCGGAUUCAUUGGGUUUAAAGGGUGCGUAGGCGGCCUAUUAAGUCAGUGCUGAAAGCCCCCGGCUUAACCGGGGAGGUGGCAUUGAUACUGGUUGGCUUGAGUGCUGUCGAGGCAGGCGGAAUUGACGGUGUAGCGGUGAAAUGCUUAGAUAUCGUCAGGAACACCGAUAGUGAAGACAGCUUGCCAGAGAGCAACUGACGCUGAGGCACGAAAGUGUGGGGAGCAAACAGGAUUAGAUACCCUGGUAGUCCACACUGUAAACGAUGAUGACUCGCUGUUGGCGAUAUACGGUCAGCGGCUAAGAGAAAUCGUUAAGUCAUCCACCUGGGGAGUACGCCGGCAACGGUGAA